Molecule: long non-coding RNA, 298 nt
Filed under: Mytilus galloprovincialis (Mediterranean mussel)
Lineage: Eukaryota; Metazoa; Mollusca; Bivalvia; Mytilida; Mytilidae
Source: RNAcentral
AAUACGUUCAGGUAUUUCACAUCCAUUUUUUAUGGAAAUAUUCUUUAUAAAGCACAAAGGUGUCAGUAUUCACCUCAGAAACUUACAUAACCUUUGAACAGACUUAUUAAGAAGGGAUAUAAUUACGAUACUGUUGUCAAGUCAUUAAAGAUUGCAUAUUUUGGCGUUAAUAUUGAGUCACUGAUAAGGUCUUUGCAUCGGAACUAAACACAUUUAUUCUAAAAACAGUUGUUGGCAUGACAUGGGUUAAGUUCUUCUCAUAUAUGUUAUGAUGGUAUGAUACUAAACCCCUAACGGG